RNAcentral lists this ribosomal RNA (497 nucleotides) under uncultured bacterium. RNAcentral's name for it is "partial 16S ribosomal RNA". It matches the Rfam family "Bacterial small subunit ribosomal RNA", at positions 28 to 507 of the family's 1533-position model. The record is from RNAcentral.
GACGAACGCUGGCGGCGUGCCUAAUACAUGCAAGUAGAACGCUGAAGAGAGGAGCUUGCUCUUCUUGGAUGAGUUGCGAACGGGUGAGUAACGCGUAGGUAACCUGCCUUGUAGCGGGGGAUAACUAUUGGAAACGAUAGCUAAUACCGCAUAACAAUGGAUGACACAUGUCAUUUAUUUGAAAGGGGCAAUUGCUCCACUACAAGAUGGACCUGCGUUGUAUUAGCUAGUAGGUGAGGUAAUGGCUCACCUAGGCGACGAUACAUAGCCGACCUGGGAGGGUGAUCGGCCACACUGGGACUGAGACACGGCCCAGACUCCUACGGGAGGCAGCAGUAGGGAAUCUUCGGCAAUGGGGGCAACCCUGACCGAGCAACGCCGCGUGAGUGAAGAAGGUUUUCGGAUCGUAAAGUUCUGUUGUAAGUCAAGAACGGGUGUGAGAGUGGAAAGUUCACACUGUGACGGUAGCUUACCAGAAAGGGACGGCUAACUACGUG